UGGGGAAUAUUGCACAAUGGGCGAAAGCCUGAUGCAGCGACGCCGCGUGAGGGAUGACGGCCUUCGGGUUGUAAACCUCUUUCAGUAGGGACGAAGCGCAAGUGACGGUACCUGCAGAAGAAGCACCGGCUAACUACGUGCCAGCAGCCGCGGUAAUACGUAGGGCGCGAGCGUUGUCCGGAAUUACUGGGCGUAAAGAGCUCGUAGGCGGUUUGUCACGUCGUCUGUGAAAUCCUAGGGCUUAACCCUGGACGUGCAGGCGAUACGGGCUGACUUGAGUACUACAGGGGAGACUGGAAUUUCUGGUGUAGCGGUGGAAUGCACAGAUAUCAGGAAGAACACCGAUGGCGAAGGCAGGUCUCUGGGUAGUAACUGACGCUGAGGAGCGAAAGCAUGGGUAGCGAACAGG
This 409-nucleotide ribosomal RNA is filed under the name bacterium. RNAcentral describes it as "partial 16S ribosomal RNA". It matches the Rfam family "Bacterial small subunit ribosomal RNA", at positions 355 to 776 of the family's 1533-position model. The record is from RNAcentral.